Molecule: long non-coding RNA, 3460 nt
Filed under: Capsella grandiflora
Lineage: Eukaryota; Viridiplantae; Streptophyta; Magnoliopsida; Brassicales; Brassicaceae
Description: long non-coding RNA (CGRA_LNC001123)
Source: RNAcentral
GCUGAUUCUACUGCGGCAGCACCCAUGGAGAGCGUUAUUGUCAGGAUUGCUCCUCUAGAACCUGAAGGAAGAGUAAACACUCUUAGAGAUAGUAGCUAAAUGCUAAGAAAGGUCAUCAAUUUAGAAUUUGUCAGUACUUAGAUAGGAGAUUUUAAUACUUUGAGCAAAAUUCAUGUCUUUAGCCAUAGAUUGGUUUCUCAAAAGAGAAGAAAACAUAGGAUACUUCGACUUUUUUUUAUGUCUUUCUUUUUUGCCUGUAGCACAAAGUGUACACAGAGAGAAUAUAUCUAACUUUUCAGUAACAUCUCAUGAGUUCAACAAAUUUCUUUUGGCAAACUUAUCAUUUACGGUGGGAUGUGAAUUAUGCAUUCUUAUCCGAACACACUAAAAUCAUCUAUAACCAAAGCUUGAUAAGUGCUAGUCAUAUUCUUAUGUGUCAUAAUCACUACACAGAACCAAAAAAAGUCACUAGACAGAACCAACGGUUUCCCGGUAAUGAAUGCUAAGGUUUAUGCAACGAAUCAGUGUCUAGUCUACAGAAGAUGCAUUUACAAAACCAGACAUCAUCACCUGUAUGCGUACCACUGAAAAAUGCACAAAGUUUGUGAACAAUAAAUGAUCUAUCCACUUGACACGACCCACUUUAUAAACUACCCAUAUAACUCAAAAUCAAUCAACACACAUGACUCAUCGGGAUAGUAAAUAAUAUGUCAUAUGAUCCUUCCCGACAACGAUAACGAAAUCUACUCUGCCCUAGGAAUACUGACCCAACCAAUAAUAGAGUAAACCAACCAACCUAAGUUUCUGGGUAAAAGUCAGACCUGAGAGCUACUUUGGGGGAUGCAUAGUUUUGUAAGAUAUCAAGUUAAGUUACACUAAACUUUGUCUUGCAAGAUUCUCAACCAACAGUCAUGUACACAUCUUAUGGGAUCUAAAUUUGACACCAGACAUAUCUAUUCCAUGAUACACUGACAAAAUCGUAGAGUUGAUCUGUAGUUACCAUCCUGGUCGAGAGCAUCCAUUCCCAUAAGUCACACACCAAAAUCUAAAAGAGGGUGUUAAGUAAGAUAAGUGAGAAAUCCUUCACCAUUAUUAAACCAAACACGGUUAAACUUCCAUAUGAAUCUCAUCACAAGCCUCUCCUACUCUAAUCUGAGGGUUGAUACAUGUUGAUGCCUCAACAGUCAACAUCACUCACACUUUAUCUUAUCAUAUUGGUACUAGAGUUUGUACCGUAUCAUGGUGAUGUUCUGUCUUAUGUAAUAUGCUUUCUCUAUUAUUCUUCUUUUAUUCACAACAAGCGCACAUCUUGGGUAUUGUAGUUGAACAGUAGCAGUGCUAUCUCGUUGUGUGGAAACGGAAGAAAAACUACAAAGUUGGCCUAAUUAGAGUCUAUCUCUAUAUAUGAUAAGAAAAAACAUUGUGCAAAUAAAAAAAGAAUGCGUGAAGUGUUCAACUAGAUAUAGGGAGAUAUAUAAUUGAUAUCUUAGUCAUUUUCAUAGGUUUCUCAAAAUACCAAACUCGGAAUCCUGAUCACUGGUGAUUCAGAACCAGCUAAACAACUUGGUAUCAAGAACCUAUUGUUAAAAAAAUUACUAAAAUUGAUUGAGGUAAGGAGCACAUUUUUCUAACUACGAGAACUUGGAGAUCCUACAGUUAAAAAGGAAGCAACAUGUCAAAAACAAGGUUAUCAAAACAAAAGACAUGUUAUAAACAAAUGAUGGUUCAAAUAGGGCUUAAGAUCCUAGGCAUUUCUGAUUGGAUGAGAUGUAAAUUAAGUGUUGAAAAGUUCAAUUAAUAAGCACAGCUCCACUUUAAAAAGGGAGUUUAAUAAAAAUUUCGGAAGUCCACAAAAAAUAAGAGUUAUUGGUUAAUAACAGAAGAAUGUGGUUUACAGGUUAGCAUAUGCCCAUUACAAACAUCCGAGGAAUAUCAUAUGGUAUCAGGUAUUAUCUGGUAAAUAUGCUAUUGAGAUUGUAAAAUCUGCAACAAAGUAUUUUUAAGUUCAAUCAAUGACCUUACUGCAACAACCAAUGACCUUACUGCAACAACCAAGGGUAUAAACUACUCUAUCAACAAUCUGUAGUUCUGCCUUCUAUAAACUACUCUGGAACAACCGUAGGACAUCAACAGAUGUUAAUAAAACAAAAGAUGUUCAAAUUUCCGCUACCAUUCAAGUCCUACUGCAAUUAUUUCAAUGUUCUUUUAGUAAAAGUAAAAUAGUGAUUAAAGACAGAAGCACACUAGAGGACAAUGAUAGCUUUGGAAGAUAAUGUUUAAAAUUCUAUCUUUAGUGCUUUAAGAAAAUCCCGGGCCACUUGUUGGACUAAAGACCUCGAUCAGUAAGAUAGAUUCAUGCCUAACCUUUUUGUAAUAUAAGUAUAUAACAAAUAUCGUAGCUACAAUUCAGAACUAUGCUAAUAAUAUAAUAAAGAAAGUUUUGUCGACAUACCGUUGAAAAGCAAAAGAGCUGUACACAAUAGGCUCUGCCUAUUCAUCCUAGCACAAUGAACAAAGAUAUUUACUUUAACAGAUAUUUAGUAGGAACGAUGAACAAAUAGAUACUUAACAGAUAUUUUAGUAGAUAUUUAGUAGAAACUAUGAAUACUUAGAAGUUCAUCAAAGGUGGAAGACUGAAAAUAAUAAUGGGUACAUAGAUAAUUACAAGGAAAGACUAACGCUCUGUGUUUCACUAGUUCAAGUUUCUGGCAAAAGAGAGCUUUACUUAUCUAUGACAUGCAGCAAAACUCUUACUUGAGUAUUCCCAAAAAUAUUCCAGUUCUCAUCUUUUUCAUGUUAUUUCACCUCAAGAGAACCAUUUAUAUGCAGACAUUUAGAUACUUGGGAAUUGCUAAACAGAAUUUGCAUGUAUUCCCCAAACUCAAAAUAUAUAAUAGUGAAAGUAAACUAAAAUCUAGCUUAUCAAGAAUCACCACAAGACAAAAAUGAUUUCAAGACAAAAAAUAAAAAGAUUCUACUUUAAAGUAAGACAUAGAUAAAUGAUUUCCAAAUUCAAUGUUGGAAAAGUGAUAGUACCUACCUACACAGGCAUCUGGGGGUUGGAGGAGGUAUGGGCCAAUGGCACAAUCAGCACUCAAGGAUUUCUGAAAUUAAAUAAGCUCAUUCAGGGUCCCAAGUCUCAUUGGAAAAAAAAACGAAAAGAAGAAGAAAACACACCUUUUAUAUUAAAAAAAUUAUUCUGUCCAAUUAUAAAAUUCUCAGCCCCCACUCAGUAAUCAAUAAGCAUCUCAAGCUAUAUAUAAGAAGUUUAAACCUUAAGAAGAAAUAAACAAGCAAAGCAUAGAGAAUAGACUUUAAUUUUAAGAUAUUUAAAAUAGUAAAAAUGUCUGCAACUGAGUUACCUUCUUCAGCACAAGCCUUCCAAGAGCAAUUCCUUGGCAGUUUUGUCUCUAGAAAGCUGCUUCUGCACAACCCAUUUGACCACAACACUCAACGAGCC